RNAcentral lists this ribosomal RNA (253 nucleotides) under uncultured bacterium. RNAcentral describes it as "partial 16S ribosomal RNA". It matches the Rfam family "Bacterial small subunit ribosomal RNA", at positions 524 to 776 of the family's 1533-position model. The record is from RNAcentral.
UACGAAGGUCCCAAGCGUUGUUCGGAAUCACUGGGCGUAAAGGGAGCGUAGGCGGCGUGGUAAGUCAGAUGUGAAAUCCCGGGGCUCAACCCCGGAACUGCAUCCGAUACUGCCAUGCUUGAGGGUUGGAGAGGUAGCUGGAAUUAUCGGUGUAGCAGUGAAAUGCGUGGAUAUCGAUAGGAACACUCGUGGCGAAGGCGAGCUACUGGACAACAUCUGACGCUGAGGCUCGAAGGCUAGGGGAGCAAAAGGG